Long non-coding RNA from Octopus bimaculoides (California two-spot octopus), 691 nucleotides. The record is from RefSeq and is a predicted model, not a curated record. Lineage: Eukaryota; Metazoa; Mollusca; Cephalopoda; Octopoda; Octopodidae.
UUAGCACUAGCAAGUUUAGCAUGAGUCAACUCAUUAAUUCUAGAUAGGAAGAGAGGGAGAGAGAAGUAGUUGCUUGACAGAAACAUUUCCUUGCAACUAAUUGGAUAAGGGAAGUUGUCAGUCGUGACUCGCAUUCGGACAUAAAAGUGAAAACCUCGUUUGAAGUUUGCUUCUGAAAGUUGUUGGAAAGGAAAUAUCUCGGAGAUUAGACAUGCAAUGAAUAACGGUGGAAAAAAAAAUUUGAAGAAAAUGCUCAUUAUAUUAGCAUACAUAUAUUUAAAAGAUAGUGAAUAGAGAAUUAGUAUAAAGUCAUACAUUUUACAAUUCUUAAUUUGUCUCCUACCUCAUUCAUUAAAGGAUUAAUUCUGAUUAAGGAGAGACGAAUCUCUGGAUUACACGCUCCUUUGGCGCAGUUUCCGUCUACAAAAUCCACUCACAAGACUUGGUCGACCUGAGAUUGUAGUAGAAGAUACUUGCCCAAGUUGCCACGCAAUGAGACUGAACCUGGAACCAUGUGGUUGGGAAGUAAACUUCUUACCACACAGCCACGCCUGCACCAUAAUAAUAACAAGUCAUUUGACUGCGGCCAUGCUGGAGCACCGCCUUCAGUCGAAGAAAUCGAUGCUAGUACUUAUUCUUUGUAAGCCCAGUACUUAUUCUAUCGGGGUCUUUUGCCAAACCGCUAGUUUAC